RNAcentral lists this ribosomal RNA (490 nucleotides) under uncultured bacterium. RNAcentral's name for it is "partial 16S ribosomal RNA". It matches the Rfam family "Bacterial small subunit ribosomal RNA", at positions 28 to 507 of the family's 1533-position model. The record is from RNAcentral.
GAUGAACGCUAGCUACAGGCUUAACACAUGCAAGUCGCGGGGCAGCAUGGGGGUUGCUUGCAAUCCCUGAUGGCGACCGGCGCACGGGUGAGUAACGCGUAUCCAACCUGCCCUUCACCACGGGAUAACCCGGCGAAAGUCGGACUAAUACCGUAUGUUGUCCAUUGACGGCAUCCGAUUUGGACGAAAGGCUUAGCGGUGAGGGAUGGGGAUGCGUCCGAUUAGCUUGACGGCGGGGUAACGGCCCACCGUGGCUACGAUCGGUAGGGGUUCUGAGAGGAAGGUCCCCCACACUGGAACUGAGACAUGGUCCAGACUCCUACGGGAGGCAGCAGUGAGGAAUAUUGGUCAAUGGGCGUAAGCCUGAACCAGCCAAGUAGCGUGCAGGAUGACGGCCCUAUGGGUGGUAAACUGCUUUUAGGCGGGGAUAAAGGGACCCACGUGUGGGUUUUUGCAGGUACCGCAUGAAUAAGGACCGGCUAAUUCCGUG